AUGGAGUCAGAUGAAGAGAUGUAUCCUGAUGUGAGACCUAAACGUCAAAUACGUCGACCUGUCAGACUUCAGGACUUUGAAGUUGACUAUAUGGGAUAUAGUCAUCGUGAUCAGCACCAAUGGGGCCUCUCAUCCCCUGCCUUGGAUGGGAGGGCGUUCCCUUUCCAAACAGCCUACCCUCACUCUAGUGGCUUCUCUGGGAAUGCUGCUCACCCUGAGUUUCCUCAGCUAGCCCCAGACCACAGCCAGAGGAGGGAUUUGGAUGGGCUUAGCCAGCCUGCGCGGACACCCUCAUCCCAUCAGAGCCCAUAUUUGGAUUCUCGUUUUUCUGAGGAAAUCCGAGCUAUUCGAGAGGAGAAUACUAAACUGCUCCAAACACAACAGGCCUUUCAAACGGGCAUAAAGGAACUCAAUGAAGCACGGCGCGAGAUGAAAGAGCUACUGGAGGUAGCCCGCUCACUGAGAGCAGACCUGGCCCAAGUUAAUAGUCCAACCUCAAACUAUAGUAAUCCCACGUCUCCACAAGCUGAUGCUGUAGCCUCAAGGAGUUUCGCUGUUGCAGCACACUCAAAGGAAAUGGAGCAGGAGGACUGGCCUGAUCCUCCACCCUGGCCUGAACCUGAAGAGAACGUGUCAAGAGGGAUGUGCAAUCUCAGGGUUGAUGAACAAGAGCUAGACAAUAGACAUCACAAUCUUUCCCCUGAAGCUAGAGUAUGUAGGCCUUGUAAGCCUCCACUGCCUCCUCAGUAUCCCGCUCCUACUACCGAUAAAGGGAUAUCACCAUACCUCUCUACACGACCCUCUCAGUUGCUCACACACCCUGCCCCAGCUCAUGCACCUGUGAUGCAAUCAGCGCCUGCCCGAACCUACCAUCCAUUAGCAGCCACUGGAGCGGUACAUGGCAUGCCACCACCUAAUCAGUUGAUGCAGCCGCCAGGGAAUGAACAAGUGUAUCGAGGGCCCCAACCCACAAUCCCAAAGUUCAUUCACCCGGAUCCCAGUGAAUUUGCGCGGCUUCGCAUAGCUCUAGAAAACCUACUCCCAUCUAAUGCUACAGAACUCUUCAAGUAUCAAAUACUUGUGGAUCAUUUAAAGCUGGAGGAAGCUAAGCUUAUAGCUGAUGCUUAUCUAAACUCACCCAACCCCUAUAGUGACACUAUGUCAGCCCUCCAUGACAAAUUUGGUCAUCCUCAUCAACUUGCCUUAAAGAAGAUAGCAAGUGUUCUAGAAACCCCCGAAGUAAGGCGUGGUGAUACUAUGGCAUUCCAGAAGUUCUCUCUUCAGAUACAAUCUUUAGUGGGCUUGUUGCGGACUCUAGGUCCUGAAGGGGAAAUUGAACUCAACUGUGGCUCACAUGUUGCUCGUCUGCUGAGUAAGCUCCCUCCGGAACAGCGAGCUGAUUUCCGUCGACAUCAGUUCAAGCAGUUAGGGGCGACCCACACGCUACAUGAUUUGGCAGAAUGGCUCCGCUAUGAAUCAUGGUGUCAGGGCUUCGACAGUCAGGCUACUGGACGCAGCAUAAAGGAAAGGCAGAAUUUGAAGACUGAUGGUCGUCCUGGAAGACAAACAGUGACCGUCCUACAUGGAGCUGGUGAGUCAAGAGAGACAGCAUCUUUGUACCAAAAAGAGAGUUCAACCAGCAGAGGGGUCAAGAGUAAAGCUUACUGUGCCUACUGUGAGAGUACUGAGCAUUAUCUUAGUCAAUGCAGUGCAGUCACCAAACUCUCCAAAGAUCAGCUUAGAGAGUGGAUACGGGUUAACAAGCGGUGUUGGCGUUGUGCACGAACUCACCAAGCCGCUCAGUGCACAUUGAAGAAACCUUGCAACAUCUGUCAGGGAAAACACUUACUGGCUCUUCAUGAGAUAAAUACAAGAGCAGAGAGGGGCAAUAAAGAUGUAGCUGUUAAAGAAGAGAGCUGCUUAACCAGCUCUGCGGCUGACUCGCUCUACCUGGACAGACCUGGAGCCGGGAAUCGAGUCAUGUUAAAGGUCGUCCCUGUGCUUGUACAUUAUGAGGACCGAACCCUUGAUACCUUUGCGAUCCUUGAUGAUGGGUCAGAGAGGACCAUGUUGUUGCCAGCAGCAGCUAAGUUUCUUGGCAUAAAGGGCACUCCUGAAGCGCUUCCUUUGCGUACAGUCCGACAGGACAUCCAGAUCCUCCAUGGCCACACGGUGUCUUUCCAUGUCUCACCAGCCGCAAACCCUCACACCAGCUAUAAGAUCAAUGGUGCCUUCACGGCUGGCCGCCUCAGCCUAGCACAGCACACUUACCCCAUUGACCGUCUGAAGAGGAAAUACAAAUACCUAAGUGGCAUUCCCCUACCUGCCUUAAGAGAUGCUCAACCUACACUCCUUGUAGGCUCUGACAACCCUCAGCUGAUAACACCUGUCGAACCAGUCAGGCUUGGUCCACCAGGUGGCCCAGCCGCAGUCUGUACCAGGCUCGGGUGGACUCUUCAAGGCCCUACCCCAUUCAGGGGGCGGCCAAUCCAACCUGCACAGUGUCUGUUUACGUCAUCUGCGCCACCAAUGGAUGAGCUUUACAAGCAUGUUGAGAGGCUCUGGCAAGUAGACACUGUACCUUACCGACAUGAAAGAGAGGUGACGCGGUCGAAGCUGGAUCAGCAGGCUGUAGCAUUGCUUGAAGCCAAGACGGUCCGUACUAAUGUAGAUGGAAUUCUUAGGUACGCCACACCAUUGCUGCGCCAUCCAAGCAUGCCACCUUUGCACUCGCCAAAGGAGUCAGUUAUGCCCAUGUUACGUAGUACUGAGAGGCGACUCUUAAAGGACCCUAAAUUAGCAGAUGCGUACAAGAUGGAAAUGCAGAAGCUCAUAGAAACGGGUGCUGUGAGGGAAGUCACUGAGGAGACCUCUACCAAAGAAGGAUGGUACAUCUCACAUCAUCUCGUCAGCCACAACGGAAAGAACCGCCUGGUCUUUAACUGUUCUCACCAGUACCUCGGGCAGACCCUGAACCAGUACCUGCUACCUGGCCCUACCCUUGGUGCCCCCUUGCUGGGAGUCUUAUUGAGAUUUCGUGAACGUCCCAUAGCUGUUAGUGGAGACAUCAAGGGGAUGUUUCAUCAAGUCCGCCUCAUCCCUGAAGAUCGCCACCUUCUAAGGUUCCUGUGGCGGGACCUGAAGGUAGAAGAAACCCCAAGAACAUUUGAGUGGCAAGUUUUGCCUUUCGGCACAACCUGUAGCCCGUGCUGUGCGAUAUACGCCCUGCAGCGCCAUGUUGUUGACCACUGCCAGCCGGACGAUGACCUGAGAUUCUCGGUUGAGAACUGCUUUUACGUAGAUAACUGCCUGCAGAGCGUGAGUACACAGAGUGAAGCUAAACUGCUGGUGGAUCGCCUCAGGGAUCUUCUGAUUUCUGCAGGAUUUGAGUUGCGUCAAUGGGCUUGCAACAAUCCAGAUGUCCUGAGUCAUUUGCCUCAAGAGGCCAGAUCUGAAAGCCUGGACCUGUGGCUGGCGCAGGAUAAGUCCAAUCCUCUGGAGUCAACACUCGGUCUCAGCUGGAAUUGGGCAACCGACUCCUUGGGUUACAAACAUAGGCCUGUGUCCUACGAGGUACCAACUCUGAGGAACAUUUACAGAGUUCUAGCUACUCAAUACGAUCCCUUGGGAUACAUGUUACCUUUCUCUACCCGAGCGAAGCUCAUCAUCAGGCAGCUGUGGGAUAAGAAGCGAGGCUGGGAUGACUCUAACUUACCCGCCGAACUCCUGCAAGCCUGGUCCAGCUGGGAGGCUGAACUGGAGUCCUUACCUUUCCUCACAUUUCCACGUGCAUAUGUUCCGGCGGACGCCAACCUUGAGGGUGCUACCCGUGAGGUGCACAUCUUCGCAGAUGUGUCUGAGCAGGCUUAUGGAGCUGUAGCCUACAUGAGAACUGAGGACAGGGAAGGCCAGAUCCACCUGUCGUUCAUCCUUGCUCGUUCACGAGUAGCUCCAAGACGCCUGCAUUCUAUCCCACGCCUGGAGCUUUGUGGAGCUCUGGUUGCAGCACAGCUGGCUCAUGUCCUUGAGAGGGAACUAAGCUUGACAGUGGCUCGAACUGUGUUGUGGUCAGACUCCACUACAGUCCUAACCUGGCUACACUCCCAGUCUUGCCGAUACAAGGUCUUCGUAGGUGCCAGAAUAGCUGAGAUACAGGAGUUAACAGGAAAGUGCACUUGGCGCUAUGUGGACUCAUGUGGAAUAAUCCUGCUGAUGAUCUGA
Carassius auratus (goldfish) is the source of this 4221-nucleotide long non-coding RNA. NCBI's taxonomy places the organism in Eukaryota, Metazoa, Chordata, Actinopteri, Cypriniformes, Cyprinidae. The record is from Ensembl.